RNAcentral lists this ribosomal RNA (305 nucleotides) under uncultured bacterium. RNAcentral describes it as "bacterial SSU rRNA". It matches the Rfam family "Bacterial small subunit ribosomal RNA", at positions 333 to 630 of the family's 1533-position model. The record is from RNAcentral.
AAACUCCUAUGGGAGGCAGCAGUGGGGAAUAUUGCGCAAUGGGCGAAAGCCUGACGCAGCGACGCCGCGUGAGGGAUGAAGGUCUUCGGAUCGUAAACCUCUGUCAGCAGGGAAGAACGGUCACUGUGCUAAUCAGCAGUGAAUUGACGGUACCUGCAAAGGAAGCACCGGCUAACUCCGUGCCAGCAGCCGCGGUAAUACGGAGGGGGCGAGCGUUAAUCGGAAUUACUGGGCGUAAAGCGCUCGUAGGAGGUAUGUCACGUCAAGGGUGAAAUCACCGCGCUGAACGUGGGAACUGCAUUGGA